UAGCAUAUCAAUAAGCGGAGGAAAAGAAACCAACCGGGAUUGCCUUAGUAACGGCGAGUGAAGCGGCAAAAGCUCAAAUUUGAAAUCUGGUACCUUCGGUGCCCGAGUUGUAAUUUGUAGAAGGUAACUUUGGGGCUGGUCCUUGUCUAUGUUCCUUGGAACAGGACGUCAUAGAGGGUGAGAAUCCCGUGUGGCGAGGAUCCCAGUUCUUUGUAAAGUGCUUUCGAAGAGUCGAGUUGUUUGGGAAUGCAGCUCUAAGUGGGUGGUAAAUUCCAUCUAAAGCUAAAUAUUGGCGAGAGACCGAUAGCGAACAAGUACAGUGAUGGAAAGAUGAAAAGAACUUUGAAAAGAGAGUGAAAAAGUACGUGAAAUUGUUGAAAGGGAAGGGCAUUUGAUCAGACAUGGUGUUUUGCGCCCUCUGCUCCUUGUGGGUGGGGGAAUCUCGCAGCUCACUGGGCCAGCAUCAGUUUUGGCGGCAGGAUAAAUCUGCAAGAAUGUAGCUUGCCUCGGUAAGUGUUAUAUCCUGUAGAAAUACUGCCAGCUGGGACUGAGGACUGCGACUUUACGUCAAGGAUGCUGGCAUAAUGGUUAUAUGCCGCCCGUCUUGAAACACGGACCAAGGAGUCUAACGUCUAUGCGAGUGUUUGGGUGUAAAACCCGUACGCGUAAUGAAAGUGAACGUAGGUUGGGGCCUCGCAAGAGGUGCACAAUCGACCGAUCCUGAUGUCUUCGGAUGGAUUUGAGUAAGAGCAUAGCUGUUGGGACCCGAAAGAUGGUGAACUAUGCCUGAAUAGGGUGAAGCCAGAGGAAACUCUGGUGGAGGCUCGUAGCGGUUCUGACGUGCAAAUCGAUCGUCGAAUUUGGGUAUAGGGGCGAAAGACUAAUCG
RNAcentral lists this ribosomal RNA (887 nucleotides) under Torulaspora delbrueckii. RNAcentral describes it as "LSU rRNA". It matches the Rfam family "Eukaryotic large subunit ribosomal RNA", at positions 36 to 937 of the family's 3401-position model. Lineage: Eukaryota; Fungi; Ascomycota; Saccharomycetes; Saccharomycetales; Saccharomycetaceae. The record is from RNAcentral.